UUGACCUCAGCUCAGUCGUGAUUACCCGCUGAAUUUAAGCAUAUAACUAAGCGGAGGAAAAGAAACUAACGAGGACUCCCCCAGUAACGGCGAGUGAACGGGGAAAAGCCCAGCGCUGAAUCCAUUAGUCACUGGCUAUAUGGAAUUGUAGCGUAUAGGUGUAACUAUUCGGUUGUUUCGUUCACCCAAAGUCCCCUUGAGCGGGGCUAUAGUCCAAAGAAGGUGCUAGACCUGUACGGGUGAUGAAGCAAUCGAUGGGUUACUCCUUGGAGUCGGGUUGCCUGAGAUCGCAGCCCAAAGAGGGUGGUAAACCUCAUCUAAGGCUACAUAUGAUCACGAGACCGAUAGCAAACAAGUACCGUGAGGGAAAGUUGCAAAGAACUUUGAAGAGAGAGUUCAAGAGGGCGUGAAACCGCUGAGAAGGAAACGGAUAGAGUUAACGAAAUUUGGCGGCACUCAGCCGGUUGGCUUAGCGGCGUCGCGGUUUCGAGCCUCGAUGAGGGCGAGAACGUGACUAGCUGUUGAGUGCAUGAGACUGGUGUAUUGUCCGUCGGUAUGCGCCGAGAAUUUUGCUGUCGUGCGCUAAUGCUCUUUGAAGAGGACCACACCUUACGGGUGUGGAACCCUGCAUGAGUUGAGGCGUAUCGGUAGUAAAAGCUGUCUGUGCUAUCUCCGCUGUAGUGCAACGGUUGACAUGUGGCUAGUGUGGCUAUUGGGCGGUCGCAUGCGACUUGCUUAUGGUCAUUGCUGGUUCAUGGCAGUGCAGUUGCGCUGAGAUUAGCCUCUCGGUGUGAAAGUUGACCACCUAUCCGACCCGUCUUGAAACACGGACCAAGGAGUCUAGCAUAUGCGCGAGUCAUUGGGUGGUAAACCUAAAGGCGUAAUGAAAGUAAAGGUUGUCUUGAUACGACUGAUAUGGGAUCCGAAUGCUUUCAUGCAUCACGGCGCACCAUAGCCCCGUCCCCGUUGCUUGCAAUAGGGCGGAGGAAGAGCGCAUACGCUGGGACCCGAAAGAUGGUGAACUAUGCCUGAGCAGGAUGAAGCCAGAGGAAACUCUGGUGGAGGUCAGAAGCGGUUCUGACGUGCAAAUCGAUCGUCUGACUUGGGUAUAGGGGCGAAAGACUAAUCGAACCAUCUAGUAGCUGGUUCCCUCU
Molecule: ribosomal RNA, 1154 nt
Filed under: Strongyluris calotis
Lineage: Eukaryota; Metazoa; Nematoda; Chromadorea; Rhabditida; Heterakidae
Description: eukaryotic LSU rRNA
Rfam family: Eukaryotic large subunit ribosomal RNA
Source: RNAcentral